RNAcentral lists this ribosomal RNA (1572 nucleotides) under Lactobacillus helveticus. RNAcentral describes it as "bacterial SSU rRNA". It matches the Rfam family "Bacterial small subunit ribosomal RNA". The record is from RNAcentral. Lineage: Bacteria; Bacillati; Bacillota; Bacilli; Lactobacillales; Lactobacillaceae.
CAAAAUGAGAGUUUGAUCCUGGCUCAGGACGAACGCUGGCGGCGUGCCUAAUACAUGCAAGUCGAGCGAGCAGAACCAGCAGAUUUACUUCGGUAAUGACGCUGGGGACGCGAGCGGCGGAUGGGUGAGUAACACGUGGGGAACCUGCCCCAUAGUCUAGGAUACCACUUGGAAACAGGUGCUAAUACCGGAUAAUAAAGCAGAUCGCAUGAUCAGCUUAUAAAAGGCGGCGUAAGCUGUCGCUAUGGGAUGGCCCCGCGGUGCAUUAGCUAGUUGGUAAGGUAACGGCUUACCAAGGCAAUGAUGCAUAGCCGAGUUGAGAGACUGAACGGCCACAUUGGGACUGAGACACGGCCCAAACUCCUACGGGAGGCAGCAGUAGGGAAUCUUCCACAAUGGACGCAAGUCUGAUGGAGCAACGCCGCGUGAGUGAAGAAGGUUUUCGGAUCGUAAAGCUCUGUUGUUGGUGAAGAAGGAUAGAGGUAGUAACUGGCCUUUAUUUGACGGUAAUCAACCAGAAAGUCACGGCUAACUACGUGCCAGCAGCCGCGGUAAUACGUAGGUGGCAAGCGUUGUCCGGAUUUAUUGGGCGUAAAGCGAGCGCAGGCGGAAGAAUAAGUCUGAUGUGAAAGCCCUCGGCUUAACCGAGGAAUUGCAUCGGAAACUGUUUUUCUUGAGUGCAGAAGAGGAGAGUGGAACUCCAUGUGUAGCGGUGGAAUGCGUAGAUAUAUGGAAGAACACCAGUGGCGAAGGCGGCUCUCUGGUCUGCAACUGACGCUGAGGCUCGAAAGCAUGGGUAGCGAACAGGAUUAGAUACCCUGGUAGUCCAUGCCGUAAACGAUGAGUGCUAAGUGUUGGGAGGUUUCCGCCUCUCAGUGCUGCAGCUAACGCAUUAAGCACUCCGCCUGGGGAGUACGACCGCAAGGUUGAAACUCAAAGGAAUUGACGGGGGCCCGCACAAGCGGUGGAGCAUGUGGUUUAAUUCGAAGCAACGCGAAGAACCUUACCAGGUCUUGACAUCUAGUGCCAUCCUAAGAGAUUAGGAGUUCCCUUCGGGGACGCUAAGACAGGUGGUGCAUGGCUGUCGUCAGCUCGUGUCGUGAGAUGUUGGGUUAAGUCCCGCAACGAGCGCAACCCUUAUUAUUAGUUGCCAGCAUUAAGUUGGGCACUCUAAUGAGACUGCCGGUGACAAACCGGAGGAAGGUGGGGAUGACGUCAAGUCAUCAUGCCCCUUAUGACCUGGGCUACACACGUGCUACAAUGGGCAGUACAACGAGAAGCGAGCCUGCGAAGGCAAGCGAAUCUCUGAAAGCUGUUCUCAGUUCGGACUGCAGUCUGCAACUCGACUGCACGAAGCUGGAAUCGCUAGUAAUCGCGGAUCAGAACGCCGCGGUGAAUACGUUCCCGGGCCUUGUACACACCGCCCGUCACACCAUGGAAGUCUGCAAUGCCCAAAGCCGGUGGCCUAACCUUCGGGAAGGAGCCGUCUAAGGCAGGGCAGAUGACUGGGGUGAAGUCGUAACAAGGUAGCCGUAGGAGAACCUGCGGCUGGAUCACCUCCUUUCUAAGGAA